CUCCUGGAAACGGGUGGUAAUGCCGGAUGUUCCAGUUGAUCGCAUGGUCUUCUGGGAAAGCUUUCGCGGUAUGGGAUGGGGUCGCGUCCUAUCAGCUUGACGGCGGGGUAACGGCCCACCGUGGCUUCGACGGGUAGCCGGCCUGAGAGGGCGACCGGCCACAUUGGGACUGAGAUACGGCCCAGACUCCUACGGGAGGCAGCAGUGGGGAAUAUUGCACAAUGGGCGCAAGCCUGAUGCAGCGACGCCGCGUGAGGGAUGGAGGCCUUCGGGUUGUAAACCUCUUUUAUCGGGGAGCAAGCGUGAGUGAGUUUACCCGUUGAAUAAGCACCGUCUAACUACGUGCCAGCAGCCGCGGUAAUACGUAGGGUGCAAGCGUUAUCCGGAAUUAUUGGGCGUAAAGGGCUCGUAGGCGGUUCGUCGCGUCCGGUGUGAAAGUCCAUCGCUUAACGGUGGAUCCGCGCCGGGUACGGGCGGGCUUGAGUGCGGUAGGGGAGACUGGAAUUCCCGGUGUAACGGUGGAAUGUGUAGAUAUCGGGAAGAACACC
This 548-nucleotide ribosomal RNA is filed under the name uncultured Bifidobacterium sp. Its description in RNAcentral is "bacterial SSU rRNA". It matches the Rfam family "Bacterial small subunit ribosomal RNA", at positions 147 to 710 of the family's 1533-position model. The record is from RNAcentral. Lineage: Bacteria; Bacillati; Actinomycetota; Actinomycetes; Bifidobacteriales; Bifidobacteriaceae.